UUGGGGAAUAUUCCGCAAUGGGCGAAAGCCUGACGGAGCAACGCCGCGUGAGGGAUGAAGGCCUCUGGGCUGUAAACCUCUUUUAUCAAGGAAGAAGAUCUGACGGUACUUGAUGAAUAAGCCACGGCUAAUUCCGUGCCAACA
This 144-nucleotide ribosomal RNA is filed under the name uncultured bacterium. RNAcentral's name for it is "partial 16S ribosomal RNA". It matches the Rfam family "Bacterial small subunit ribosomal RNA", at positions 354 to 513 of the family's 1533-position model. The record is from RNAcentral.